AACAAACUCAUCUACAUCUCGGACGGCCUGAGGACGAGAUGGAGCGGAAGGUUCAAUGAGGAGACAUUUGUUUACCGGCUUCCUUCCGGAAAGCUCGUACAAAUGCAGCAUUGUAUCUUUGUUUGAAACGUGAGGAAAUGAUGACAGAAGCAUGGAUGCAGGGAUUUUGCUCCGAUUAAGACAUGAGAGCAUAACUAAGAUUCCAGUUCUUCCCAAAAGUGUCCGUGUCUGGGUUUUGUAUCUCAGGUAUUCUGAUUUCUUUGAGCCCUUCCUCUGCCUUUGAGGCACCUUGGCCACAGACGGGUUCAUGUCCACAAGAUGGGGAUAUUGACCAAAAUACAGGCUGAUUUUUAGUGUUCUGACUUGAUGGAAAAUGAUAUGCCUUCAGGUCCUUUUGGGAAGUUCUUCCCUACAUGUUUGAAAGUCACAAUUACAAAACCAUGUUCCUCUCGAUUGCCGUAAAAUACAUUUUUAACCUUAAGUCUCAACAAAGACAAAAAGCUUUUUUAAUAAAACAAUUAAUAAAAAAAUGAAGAGAGAAUAAUGGGAAAUUUAAUCUUGUCAUGCAAGCUGUUCAUGAGUAUUUUCUGGCAAGCUUUAUGAUAUCCUUCAUCAAAAAGAAAAAAAGAAAAAUGCAUGCAUGCACACGCGAGUAAAUCAUCACAAUGAGUAUAUUUGUUAAUAUGACUGAAAAAGAUAAUAUUGAGACUUAUUAUGAAUUGUGACUUGUCACAACACAUAUUGUUGCUCUUAUGUUGUUUUGAUUUCUUCUAUUAACCUCAUUUGUACGUCUA
Molecule: long non-coding RNA, 794 nt
Organism: Carassius auratus (goldfish)
Lineage: Eukaryota; Metazoa; Chordata; Actinopteri; Cypriniformes; Cyprinidae
Exons: 4
Source: RefSeq, a predicted model, not a curated record